UGUUUUUUUUUUUUUUUCAUUUUCGUCCCUACCUGUUGAUAGUCUUUCAGCAAACAACCGAAGCAUUAAUCAGUUCUCGGCUUCCCGCGAUUCCGAGUCGAAACUUUCAUUGAUGCGGGACUUCGGUGCUCAGCUGAUUCUUCGAAAUUUACGUUAAAAUUUUUGAAGUUUUGGAGCAGAUGUCGGAUUUGAUCUUGCGUUUCUUCCUUGAAAGCACUAGAUCAAGAUCAGGAAUGCAAACAUCACGCAGUUCCAACCCAGAUCCCACAUACAAUUCACAUCUGGUUCCUUGUUGUAGACAUCGGCCUCAAGCAUCUUCGUGAUGGAUACCUUCAGGAAUGGAUGAACGCUUAGUUCCUGCCUUCUGCCUUUCCUCUUCAUUACUUCGUAGCCGCAGUCUAAAACGAGCUUGCUCUCUUGAUCGUGAUAGUCGAGGCCGUUUGCAUGAAGAAUGCUGAUGGGAAUGUUGAGUUUGAAAAGUGCCUCUGCUGUGUUCAUGAAUAAUUGACUUUUCAUAAGUAUCUGCUUCAGCUAAAGCUUGUGAUUCAUUUAGGCUUUGGCUAUCAUCUUCAACAGGACUGCACAAAACUGAAUUUUGCUGAGCUGCUUUCUGUAGCUCUUGUGCCACACUUGAUGGUUGUAGGCUUGCUACUGACUUUUUGGAUC
Long non-coding RNA from Theobroma umbraticum, 666 nucleotides. RefSeq lists it as uncharacterized. Lineage: Eukaryota; Viridiplantae; Streptophyta; Magnoliopsida; Malvales; Malvaceae. The record is from RefSeq and is a predicted model, not a curated record.